RNAcentral lists this transfer RNA (78 nucleotides) under Rhodothermus profundi. RNAcentral describes it as "tRNA_Val_TAC". It matches the Rfam family "tRNA". From Rfam's summary of the family: Transfer RNA (tRNA) molecules are approximately 80 nucleotides in length. Lineage: Bacteria; Pseudomonadati; Rhodothermota; Rhodothermia; Rhodothermales; Rhodothermaceae. The record is from RNAcentral.
GGGCGGUUAGCUCAGCAGGUUUAGAGCGCCUGCCUUACAAGCAGGAGGUCACUGGUUCGAGUCCAGUACCGCCCACCC